Molecule: ribosomal RNA, 492 nt
Filed under: uncultured bacterium
Lineage: Bacteria
Description: partial 16S ribosomal RNA
Rfam family: Bacterial small subunit ribosomal RNA
Source: RNAcentral
AGUGAACGCUGGCGGUAGGCCUAACACAUGCAAGUCGAACGGCAGCACAGUAAGAGCUUGCUCUUACGGGUGGCGAGUGGCGGACGGGUGAGGAAUACAUCGGAAUCUACUUUUUCGUGGGGGAUAACGUAGGGAAACUUACGCUAAUACCGCAUACGACCUACGGGUGAAAGCAGGGGAUCUUCGGACCUUGCGCGAUUGAAUGAGCCGAUGUCGGAUUAGCUAGUUGGCGGGGUAAAGGCCCACCAAGGCGACGAUCCGUAGCUGGUCUGAGAGGAUGAUCAGCCACACUGGAACUGAGACACGGUCCAGACUCCUACGGGAGGCAGCAGUGGGGAAUAUUGGACAAUGGGCGCAAGCCUGAUCCAGCCAUACCGCGUGGGUGAAGAAGGCCUUCGGGCUGUAAAGCCCUUUUGCUGGGAAAGAAAAGCAGCAGGUUAAUACCCCGCUGUUCUGACGGUACCCAAAGAAUAAGCACCGGCUAACUUCGUG